Long non-coding RNA from Pomacea canaliculata, 906 nucleotides. RefSeq lists it as uncharacterized. The transcript has 5 exons. The record is from RefSeq and is a predicted model, not a curated record. NCBI's taxonomy places the organism in Eukaryota, Metazoa, Mollusca, Gastropoda, Architaenioglossa, Ampullariidae.
UGAGUCAGUCCUAAUUAUAAAUCAGAACCACAAUGUAGAACCAGGCGGAUGUUUAUUGCUUGAAUCAGUCCCAAUUAUAAAUAACAGUACCGCAUAUUAUUAGACUCCAUAAUAUUGGACAUCUGAAAGCACGGGAACAAAACGCAAGUUGCUGUAUCUUCAAAAAAUCUUCAAGACAAACCCAUGAAUCAUAAAUGGAACAUAUUUUUCUCAGAAAGUGUUGGCGGUGGUCGAAAAUACAAGGAACUGUAUGAAAGAAUUGUAGAACAGCUGCAAGAUUAUGGUGUCUUAUUGUCUCAGUUUGGGGUGAUCCUGAUGAAGAUGAAUACAUGGAAAAAAAUCAGUGGAGUGAGAGGGAACUGCAUGACCAAGAUUUGAUAUCGCUUGAACACUGUGACGUGUUGGUGGCUGAAUGCUCAAAUCCGUCGUUAGGAGUUGGUUAUGAGAUUGCACAUGCAGUGCAACAGAACAAAAGGAUCCUGAUCCUGUGCCUUGCAGAUUCUGAUGACAAACUGCCGUCCAAGAUCCGAGGACUCCACAACGGUACAACUGUCAUUGUCAUGGAAUAUCAGGAAGAAGAGCUGGAAGACAUUCUUAGCCAUUUCUUUUCCAAAAUAGAUAAGAUAAGAUAAGAUAAGACUUUAUUUAUCACAGAGGGCAAUUCUGUUGCAGCUCGAUUAAAAUUCAAAUUCAUACACAAUUGCAUACACAAAACUAUUCAAGCCUCAUUCAUUCCACAGCCCCAUUCAAAAGUCGAAUGUGACUGGAUUUAAAGUUAAUCUGGCAAACAUUUUGUCUGUCCAAAAAUGUUCAUUUCGUGGUAGUAGUUUAGAAACCCCAAUUGACGAUGUCCGGCAAUUUCUGAUACAAGUCUAAUAUCAAUAAAGUUACAAUAAUGGAAUCAUA